AUUCUAGUAGCUUAAUAACAAAGC
RNAcentral lists this transfer RNA (24 nucleotides) under Testudo graeca terrestris. RNAcentral's name for it is "transfer RNA-Thr". Lineage: Eukaryota; Metazoa; Chordata; Testudines; Testudinidae. The record is from RNAcentral.